ACUCUCCCUGGCCUUACUAGGGGGAUCGAUAUACAAGUUACGCCACUUCCACUUGUCAGCUCUGCACGUCAUCCAUAUUCCCCCUACUUCAGUUGGGACGUAAGUAUGAGAGACUUAUGUCUUAAUGUGCUCAUAUGCAUUGUUUUUCCAUUCCAUACAUGUAGUUUGCAUACUUAUUUGGAGAUAUAGAUAUAUAUAUAUAUAUAUUCACAAAUAAUGGCACUCACCCUUCCUGAUGUAAUGAAUAGUAAAGUGCCCUGGUGCAAUCUUAUGCUGAUAAUUAUUUUGAAGAAAGAUGCCCAAAUUCUGGAAUAUUGUUAUUACAUGUUUUGUUCAAUGUUGCCACUUCUGCGUUCACUCAUGUGUCGUAUCUCUGGCGAUAGUGGUCACCUAAGUAUUUAUAAAUUGAUAAAGGCUUAAUUCAGCCAAAACAUUGUCUCAUUCUUUCACCUGCUUAAAAUCUGCUUUACCACGAUUCCUGUGUACCCGGACCAUUUCUGGUUUACCAGAAAGACUUUUAAUCUAAAAUUCUCUUGUGCUUACCCCACACCAACUGGUUGAUCUCUGAGAUAGUCACUACUCCUAAUUUGGUAACCCUGCUAGCAGUGGCGUACACACAAUCCAUGGGGCCCCGGUGCAAAACUGAUCCGUGCCCCCCAAUCCCUCCGACACAUACAAACAAACAUACACAUACAUCCCUCAACAGACACUUACAUUCAGAGAUAUAUAUAUUACAUACAGACACACGGGGCCCCAUGCAUUGUGUGUACGCCACUGCAUACAUAGACACACGUACAUACAGAGACAGAGACACACACACACAUACACAAAAUGUUUCCUGCCUUGUUACUUUCCCUGGGGUCCAGUGGUGGCUCAGCCUGAUGGGAGUCAGAGUUCCCACUCUGACUCCCUCCUCCUCCCGCGCGGGUCCUGAUAGCUGGGAGGAGUGACCGGGGAAUCACUUCGUACCAGCUCUGAUGGGCCCCCUCCAUAUGAGGCCCUAGCGGUUUGCCGCAAAAUGUGACAGCAGGCCUGGUACCCAUUCGCAGGGGUCCGCAGGGCGGCCGGGCCCCCUGGAGUGCUGAGCCCGGCUGCGACCCCUGCGACCGCGGUAUGUACGCCGCUGCCUGCUAGUGAUGAAGUGGCUCAAAAGCAGAUGCUUAUCUAGGGGAGGGGAGAGAAGGUUGUUUGCAGGUCUCAGUAAGGGUAAGAAGGGUGAACAGGGAGGUUGUUCUUUUUUUAAACUGUAUUACAGUGUUGCAUUUGCUCUCCUUAACACACUCCCAGAUGCCCAAUUAAUUACUUGUCGUAAAACACUUUAUAAGUAAAAAUAAAUAAAUACAUUCCCUAAUUUAUGUUGUUCUAAAUUGGAUUUUUAACAAUGGAAUGUAUUCCAGUAGUGUAAUAGUUAUUUUUUUUUUCUUGGGGGAAUUGCAAGCACAUGUAAAUGUUCUUAAACUGAUGCAGUAAUCAGGUUUCCAUGCCAUUUCUAUACCGUGGCUCGGUUAUUUUUAACCCCUGAUUGCAGAGGUUACGUUUAAUCAGUCCUGCAAAUGGACACUUGUACUUUGUGCCAGUACAGUGAAUUGGGCAGUCAAAUCAGUUUAAAUCAAUUGCAGUAAUGUACUGCUGUGUUCGCGGAAGUCAGGAAAAUUGAGACUCUUUAGAUCAGAAUGGAUCUUUAGGUGAGAAUACUUUGCUUUUAAAUUUACAAUUGCAGAGAUGAUUCAUGUGGAGAAGAUGUAGGACUCUAAAUUUGGCAUAGAUGUGCUGUUGACUUUGUUGUUGAUCCCACUCAGUGUACAAUAAGUGGGACCAUCGUUGUGCUCCAACCUGAUCUCUAGGUAAUAGUCCAAGAACCCUUUGCUGGACGGUCUACCCCGAUCUUAUAGCUCUAUAUUGGCAAAUGCUGAACUGGGUCUUCUACGCCACUUCCGUAUAACGUCUUCCUUUCUUCUACUUGGGUUUUCUUUCUGAAGUUUCUUUCUAUUGAAUUUUUUUUGUGCAAUGAAUGCAAAAUAACAUUCCAAACCAGGGAUGUAGUACAGUUUACAAGCAUCCGAGAGAGUGGUCACCAAAGUACUGCUACAGUCAAGAUAUUGUUUUGUACAUGAGUAUUCAGAAUUCAUUUCAAACACUGCUCCUUGGGAGGUUUACUGCAUGAUUCAAACAAAGUAAAAGAAAUAAGCAAAUACAGAACAGGAAUGAAUCAGUUAGGGACAUUCAGUUUUGCACCACAUAUUUUCAUAAAUAUAGAUCUGGACAAACAGUGAUCUUCCAUACCCCACACAAUAGUCAUCUGCUAACAAGCCAAAUAUUGUACCCUAAGUGUCUUCCAUGCAGACCAGUUUUUAGUGAGUGGGGAUGUGGCACAUAGCCAUUUUAUUAUAUAUAUGUUACCUAUUGAUUACUGAUGACAUAGUGGGAGGGGAGGUUUGGAAUCAAGCCGUCGCUGUACUAAGCCAAAACUUUAAGGGAUGCCUGCUGAUGUUGUGCAAACAUAUCCAUGAGAAAGCAUUCUGGUGUCCUAGGGAGGCUCAUCUUGCUAGUAGUAAGGUUUUUGACCUCCGAAAUGGGUGUAGCUACCAUGGUAACACAAAGUAUAGUGGAAAUCUACAGGAGAUAUCAAUUUUAGGUGAGUAUCAUAAAAAGCAUAGCAGUUUUAGUAAUUAACUGCAUGGCUGCCAUCAGAAAUGUUUGACAUAAAACCAAAUGAAAAAUACACAGAACAGUAAAAAAAUAUCUUCUGCGCAUAGCCUUUAUGCCGCAAUUCUUAUAAAAAGGAUAGAAAAAAAAUUAAAUAAAUAAGUACCCAGUGAUUACUUACUAUAGCUGAUAGCUGACAGAUUCACUGCUGGGCUUCUGGUGCUGGUUCCAUAGUUCCAAAUUCCAUCUUCAUCACAAUUCCAAAAAAGAACCGCACUAAGUAAUCAGUAAGUUCCAAAUUAUCUCUACAAUGUGGAUUCUUAAAAGUACUCAGUUUAUUGAAUAUUAUGCAACACGGUACAAAAAAACCCACAGUCCUCAUAAGUAACUUGUGAUCAAGAUAAAAUCCUAGAUAAAUUCACAAAAAAAUACCAAAGAAAAUUCAGUCAUUUUUCAAAAAGGCAAAUAGACCCAAUUGUGGAGUCACAAACCUAUGCAAAGUCUUGAUGCAAAGGUACAUUAAUACUACAGCACACUGGGGCCAGAAGUUGUCUGGCAUCCCCCCUCCCACUUCAACCAUUUUAUAACGACAUUUUACCUGGUCUCUGCGAUGGGGACACGCCUCGUCCACUCAGUAGCUCAGUGCGAACUUGUAACUCCUGGUCACUAUUUUAAAAUAGACUAUUGAACUAUGGAACACUGCUAUUUUAAAAAAACGUCUUACAAUGAGACACUCCUGGCAGCACCACAAUCCCUACGAUGCACUUGAUUAACGCCUUAUAAUGGGACACUACUGGCGGCACCAUAAUCACUACAAUGCAUUGUAAAUUACUUAAUUUAACUAAUGUAAGACAUUGUAACAGCUAUAUAUUUUUUACUUAACACAAUCCUCAGGAAAGUAGGAAAGUAAAGAGAAAGUAAAGAGAUACCUAAAAACAUAGGAGAGAGAGCUAGUUUUGCAACCAAACAUUAAUAUAAAGCCUGGAUAUAAAUUGAGCAAGAAAAUAAUAAUUAAAAAAUGGGUACGUUCUGUAUCUGAAGCAGUACAGUGAUUAAUAUAAGACAAAUGUUAUGAUUCACUUUAGAAAGCAAGAAAUAUAUAUCCAAUGCUGCCAGGUUGUAUGUAUCAGAUAAAACGAUCCAUUACGUAGAUGCAGAUAGAAAGAGAUAAACAGAUUCAGUCCAUAUGUAUCAGUGCUGAAACAGCUUGAAGUGUAAAACUAUACUUUUCUUUCAGCCGUCAGAAUCUAGAAAAUGAAGGAAAAUAUGAAGAUUUGUGUUUGCUACAGGUAAAACAAGAAGUCCUCGUGUGUCUGUAAACUGAUGCUGCCUUUUCCAUUUGUUGAUGUAUGGGAGCUAUGGUUAUAAUUAUUUGAACAAUUUAAGUUUAUUUUAUUUUUUAAUUUGUAUUUAUAAUAUAGGGAACAAAAAAGUGUAUAGUAUCUAUCUAAACACUUAAAGGGACACUAUAGUCAUCAGAACAACAGCUUAAUGCUCUGCAUGGAGAUGCUAAACUUUCCUCAUUGAGAUGCAUUGGAGAGGGGGGAAAAAACAUCCUUGACGGUGAGACUCGUGUCCCUACCAGAGUGGCCGCCACAUAACCCUUUUCUAAAAAUUUAUUUAAAAAAAAAUUAGUUUGUGCUAUGUAAUGUUUUGUUAUAAUUCUUUCUUAUAUGAGUGAAUUGACUGCAUGGGACACCUGAAAUCCAUGUUUGAUGGUGGAUACUGUUAAUGUCAGCAAACCCAUUAGCAUCAGUGGGUUUAAAAGGCGUUUUAGUUUUAAUAUCAGUUUUGUCUGUAUAAAAAGUAAAAUCUUAGUUGAUUGUUUUACUAUCAAUUUGUGGAGAAAAUAUCAGAAAAAUAUAAUUUUCAUUGAGAAAGGCAAUGAAUUGACAUAAGGUGUCUACAGUGCUUUUAAAAAUGAUUACAAUGUCAACUUUAUAAUAUCUCCAUAGUACCAAGUCUGCACCAAAAUUAAUAUUGUUCCAAACAUUAUAUCUGUCCUAAUAAUCCAUGAAGCGAUUAGCAUAACUUGGUGCCCAAGGUAGUGCCUCUGAGUUGAAGGCAAAAAAAGCUCCAUUAAGAAAAUUAUGGGUUAAAAUAAAUUCAGUAGAUUCUCACAAAAUAUGACAAAAAGGGGCUUCAUAUUAAUAUCCUUGUCUAAACUGCUCUAAAACCUAACUGAUGAUCAAUUAUAGUCUAAAGAGGCCAAUAUAUAUUCUUCUUUCCAUUUAAUGCAUUCAAGAUGCUUUGUAUCUUUAACAUACGAUCUUGCUGCAGUGUAAAGAUGUCUGGGUGCCUAUAGCAUCCCUUAUAUGUUGUAAAUGGUAAAUCUAAAAACAGCUCUUCAUUUCCAUUGUUAACAUACUAUAUAUUAUGAUGGGUAAGAUCUAGGACAAAUCUAGACAAAGUCUUCUGGGUACUGACAUAACUAGGGACGGAAAAUGUAUAAUUUACGUUGCAGAUUUACAGCAAGAACAUGCAUAUUGAUGUUAUAUUACUGCUUGAAGUCUAUGGCCCAUUUCAAAAACAUUACAUACAAAUAAUAAAAAAAUAAAUAAAAAAAAAGCAUUUAAAAAUAUAAAAUAAAAAAUAUGAGGAUAACCAAGAUGAUUUUUUUUUUCAAUGUUGUCCUAGAUUUAAUAAACUUCCCAAAUGAUUCAAUGCUGUUAAAAAAAAAAAUAAGUUCUGCACUUCAGCCUCUAAAUAAACAGUGCCUGGUGCUCAACUGCAUAACAAAUAGUAUUUUUUUUUUUUUUUCAACUUAAUUCCAAUCUAACCCCUUAACACCGGAGGGCGUACUAUUACGCCCUAUUUUAGGUGGCUUUAAACGCCUCCGGUCUUUCUUUACUUACCUGGUCGCCGGGGGUCCCACGGGAACCCCCCCAUGGCACAUCUUCACUCCAGCAGCCCCCCGGCCAUGUGAGAGUGAGGUCCUUGAGAGGACCUCACAAUCACAUGGCCGGGAUAGCUGGCUGCAGCAUUGCCAGCAGGGAGGCUUCCUGUAAUGACAGGUGGUCCCCCUGCUGGCUGGAAAUAAAAUUAAAUAAAAUUAAUUAACGUUUAAAAGUGUAAAAAUAUAUAUAUGAUCUAACUAUAUAUAGAUACACAUAUACAUACACACAUAUACUGUCUAGGUGUAUUUUACUAUUAAUAUAUAUAUAUAUAUUAAUAUCAAAUUGCAUGUAGACUGAUACUGAUUAAAUAUAUAUGUAUAUAUUUAUAUAUAAUAUAAAAAAAAUAUGUAACUACGUUAAAAAAUAAAAUUAAAAAUAAAUUAAAAAUAAAUAAUUAAAAAAUAUAUAGAUAUGUGUUAUUUCGUUCUAACUGUAUUGUGAUAUUAAUAUAUAUAUAUAUUUAUAUCAAAAUACACGUAGAACAAAAUAAUAUAUAUAUCUAUAUACAUAAAUAUAUACGUAUAUAUCACUAUAUAUAAAUAAAAAUAUUUUAAAAAAUUUAUAUAUAUACAUAUACUAAUUCUACAUAUAUAUUUAUGUAAUAUUUUUACAUAAUUAGGUAUCCUAAUUAAUUACAAUUAGCGGGACCUGCCUGACAAUCCAUGCCGAAAGUAAAGGGAAUUUAAUUUGUUAGCACUAUAUUUCACCAUAUAACUUUUCAAAACACCAUAAAACCUGUACAUGGGGUUUACUGUUCUACUCGGGAGACUUCGCUGAACACAAAUAUUAGUGUUUCAAAACUGUAAAAUGUAUUACAAUGAUGAUAUCGCCAGUAAAAGUGAAGUUUAUGCAUUUUUCACAGCACUUACACGGACGAUAUUAUUGCUGCGAUACUUUUUACUGUCUUGAAACACAAAUAUUUGUGUUCAGCGAAGUCUCCCGAGUACAACAGUACCCCUCAUGUACAGGUUUUAUGGUGUUUUGAAAAGUUACAGCGUCAAAUAUAAGGCUUGUGUUUCAUUUUUUUCACAUUAAAAUUCGCCAGAUUGGUUACGUUGCCUUUGAGACCCUAUGGUUGCCUAAGAAUGAAAAUUACCCCUAUGAUGGCAUACCAUUUGCAAUAGUAGACAACCCAAGGUAUUGCAAACGGGGUAUGUCCAGUUUUUUUUUAGUAGCUACUUAGUCACAAACACUAGCCAAAAUUGGCAUUUUUUUGAAUUUUUCACACACAAAUACUAACGCUAACUUUGGCCAGUGUUUGUGACCAAAUGGCUACUAAAAAAGAUUGGACAUACCUCAUUUGCAAUACAUUGGGUUGUCUACUAUUGCAAAUGGUAUACCAUUAUGGGUGUCAUUUUCUUUCCUGGGCUACUAUAAAGUCCCAAAGGCAACGUAACCAAUCUGGCGAAUUUCAAUUUCAAAUGUAAUUUCAAAUGUAACAUGCUAUAUUUGCUAUAUAAUGUAUGUAUGUAUGUAUGUGAUCUUAUUAAGUAUAAAUUGAGGGACCUGCCUGACAACCCAGGCACAAAGUCUAGAUAAUGUAAUUUGCAAGCCCUGUAUUUGACCCUGUAACUUUCCAAAACCCCAUAAAACCUGUACAUGGUGAGUACUAAUGUACUUGUGAGACUUUGCUAAACACAAACAUGAGUGUUUUUAAACAAUAAAAUGUAUAACGAUGAUGAAAUCGUCAGUCAAAAUGCAGUUGUUCUUGUGAAAAUGCAAAAAAAAAAAUAUGAACACUAACUUUGGCCAAGAUUUAAGAGUAAGUGGCUACUAAAAAGACUGGACAUAACCAAUUUUGAAUACCCUGAGUUGUUUCCUUCUGCAGAUAUUAUGCCAAGAUGGAAGUAAUUCAGCAAACCAAUCUGCCAAACUGAAAGCCCUGUAUAUAACACUGUAACUUUCCUGAACCCUAUAAAACCUGUACUUAGGGGUUACUGUUGUACCGACGGGAUAUGACAGCAUACAAAUAUGUGUGUUAUUUUGCAGUAAAAACUGGCAGUAUUAUGACAUUCACGUUGAAAUGCCAUGCAGAACUUGGAAAAUAAAAUCUCUUAAUAUCACACACUUUUUAAGAUCUUAUUCAUGCUAAAUAAGUAUGGGUGAAAUUAAUAUGAAACAGGUAAAUUAUGGUUGAUUAGACAAAUUCUAUGUUUUGUAUUGGUCAGAACUUGGACAAUUUCCUUCACCCUUAAGGGGUUAAUGGUGAUUCAUGUAGAUAAAUAAUUUGGAAGUUUUUGUAACAGAAUUGAAUAAUUUGGAAAGCUUAUUAAAAAAAUAACAAGAGUUAGAAGAUAUUAGUGGCCAUAUAUUAUUGACAUUUUUCCAAUCUUGUUGCUAUUUUUUUUUUUUUUUGAAAAAUACUGCUUUAUAAUGUCUACCCAAACUGAUAACAAUCAUUGCGUAGCGUUUAACAUUGUGAAAUAUUUUGACAAAAGUGCAUGUAACAAGAAAUUACUAUAGCAACAACUAAGACAUAGUUAACCCUUUACACGCUGAACUGUGGAAGUCAACAUGAUAACUUAUUUACAAUGACUUUACCAUUAGCACUUGGGAAAUUAAUUGCCAUGUGUAGGUUAAUGGCGUAUCAUUAUCAAAUUAUACAUUUUUAUUUUUUUUUAUUUUUUUUAAAUGUGCAUUCAUUUUUUUUUUUUAGCAAGGUGUGAUUUUUAUAUAAAUCUGCUGCUAAGACGGUCUAAGCAAUUGAUGUUAGGAUUAUAUACGCAUACACUAAAGCACUGCCUUGUACGAUUAAGUCAUUGUUAUAUGGUAUUGAAAUCUUCCAUAGGAGCUUUGAGAACUUGACGCAUACGACAGCCCUGGUCAUUUGGGAUUGAAUAACUAGUUCACAAAAGUAUUCUUUGCAUAUCAUUCUGAAACCAUAAUGUAUCUCUUUUGAAGGAAAAGAGCCACAUGAACUUGACGCAUAACAAAGUAAUUAAAGUUGCGAUGCUGUUUGGCCUAAUGACUAGGCUUUAAAGGGACACUAUAGUCACCUGAACAACUUUAGCUUAAUGAAGCAGUUUUGGUGUAUAGAACAUGCCCCUGCAGCUUCACUGCUCAAUCCUCUGCCAUUUAGGAGUUAAAUCCCUUUGUUUAUGAACCCUAGUCACACCUCCCUGCAUGUGACUUGCACAGCCUUCCAUAAACACUUCCUGUAAAGAGAGCCCUAUUUAGGCUUUCUUUAUUGCAAGUUCUGUUUAAUUAAGAUUUUCUUAUCCCCUGCUAUGUUAAUAGCUUGCUAGACCCUGCAAGAGCCUCCUGUAUGUGAUUAAAGUUCAAUUUAGAGAUUGAGAUACAAUUAUUUAAGGUAAAUUACAUCUGUUUGAAAGUGAAACCAGUUUUUUUUUUUCAUGCAGGCUCUGUCAAUCAUAGCCAGGGGAGGUGUGGCUAGGCCUGCAUAAACAGAAACAAAGUGAUUUAACUCCUAAAUGACAGUGAAUUGAGCAGUGAAAUUGCAGGGGAAUGAUCUAUACACUAAAACUGCUUUAUUUAGGUGACUAUAGUGUUCCUUUAAGAUAUAAUAUAAUAGCCGUAUCAAAACGGUCUAUAUUGCCUUAGGAUUUUAAAACAAGUAUUGUGUAUAUAAAGGGCAAUAUAAUUAGCUAAUGCUAUCUUACUUUGCAUGUUAAAUCCUAUUAAGGGGAUACUAUAGUGCUAGGAAUACAAAGCUACUUUCCAAGCACUACAGCUCCAUGGAUCCCACCACCCCACCAUUGUGGGCCCCCCAGCAAAGUAAGGGUUGGUGCUGGAAGUCUCUUUAGUGGCUGUCUGAUUAACAACUAUUAUUGUAGUUUCUAAGACUGUAUGAUUGACAGCCAUUAGAGGCAGUCUUAAAAACUAUAAUAAUUAAAAUGGCAGGGUUAAGGGAACAGAGUCAGUACAUCCAGACCACUUCAAUUAGCUGAAGAGGUUUGGGCACCUAUAGUGUCCCUUUAAAUAAUAGUAAUAGCAAUAAUGAACUUAGGACAUACUGGUAGCAUGUUGGACUUAUGGAAAUGUGGUAUUUUAGAAUUACUAACUAAAAAAAAGGAAUCAUUUCUGAGGCAAAGUACUGUGUUUGGAAUAGACUUGGAGAUUUGUUUUGUUCCGAACUCCAUUUUCUAUAAAUUUGAGCCGAUCAGGUGAUCACCUGAAUUUCUGAACCCUAAGCCAAGAUGUAGCCAAAUCACAUACGAAUUUAAUAGAUAAUAUAUAAAUAUAGAUUUUUUUUUUUUUUUAACUCCUCUUUUUCCCUCAAUUGGUUACUUUUUCUCUAUGAACAAAUAUAGCAGAAAAAUGUAACUAUCAAUGUUCUAGAAAAUAUAUACUUUUUCUCACUUGAUCUGUGAACAAAAUGGUGGCAACAUGUUUCUAUUAUGUGUAUAUUUUGCAGUAUACUCAUUUUAUAUAUUUUUAUACCCUUUUCGAUACUCUGAAACAUUUCCCCCAGUCUUUUAUAGUUAAUGAAAUUCAGGUGACCUGUACUCUCAUACAUCUGAAAUUUGGCCUUACCAAAAUUAUUUUCAUUUUUGGGCAAAGUGGUUUUGCCAUUUUGUUGUGUACCAAUAUUGUUUGGAACAAGCAUUAAAAAUGUUAUUGGCUCAAUUUCAUAGACACACAUACAAAACAGUGUAAGCAAGAAAAUAUUUGCAUUUCUCUUAAAAGGUCUGAGAGACUUACUAGCCCAGCUAGUGGUAUCAGAAAGUAGUGUUAUAGGACAGUGUGGUCAUUUUCUGGAGUAAAGCCUUCAAAGAAGCGAUUACAUUAGAUGCGCCAGACCAGCCAUAUAUUCAUAAAAUGGAUUUCAACUAUGUGCUGUUGCUAGUUUACCAACAGUGAGAUUAUUAUCAUGUUACAAUUUCGAAGGCUUAUCGGUAGCAAGCAAAAGGGUUUAAACCAAUCACUAAGUUCUUCAGACAGAGCAUAAUGGAAGCGGUUUGUGACAGGUUUUUUUUAUUUUUUUAUUUUUUUUUUAUUAACAACUUUCUUCCUGAUGCUACGUAUGAAAUUGUAAAACAGCCACUACUUUCUAAAAGUAAAAAUAGGUACUAUAACAUGUAGAAUCCUGCAGGUAAACAGUAGUGACAAGUAUGAAAACACCCCAGCCCCUAGGGCAGAUAUAGGAUUUCUUGUGUAAAUGUAUCCAAAUACUGAGUGUGUGUCCUGUGCUGGUGUCGCAAUCGCGCAUGCACGCAGUCACAACUUUCCAAUGCUUCUCAGUAAACUGUAGUAUAGAAGGCACUCUAGCCUUGCAUGUCUGCGACUUCUGUUAGUUUCUAGUGCCUUAUGUGUCUGGAGUGCUCCUUUAAUGAUGUAAAAGAAAAAAAAUGAAUCUUUCUUUGAGUGUUUGAAGUAUAGGGUUACUAGGAUAUAUUUUCUACCCUGUAGAAAUCCAUGGGAUUAAUAUGUCAGUCCACAAUUAUCAGUAAGGUGUUUUCUAAACAGCAUAACUGGCCUUGAGGUUCUCAGAUGUUUUUUUACAACCGGCAGAAAAGUUAACUAUACCUACAUGAUUCCAUUAUGUGAGUUCUAGAAGGAAUAUAUUUUAUUAUACCCAUUGGAAUAUGUUUUUGCUUGAAAAUCACUAUUUAUGACUCAAAUUCCUUUAUCAAAAAAUAAUUCUUGCCUAGCAACUUGACACCAUCUUUCUUCAUUCUCUUGACAACUACUUUAACAUGCUGAGUGUAAAGAUAAUAUAUCACUUCAUAACAAACAAUAGCAGAUCACAAGAGACCACUGGUGCUGUGUAUCUAAUUAUAUAUUUGGCUUAUAUAUCUACAGUUUGGUAAUAAUUGGCAUUUUCAUACUUUGCUGAAUAAAAGCACAAUUCUGUGGUCAGUGAUUAUUUGUAUAAAACAGAAUGCUUCUUAGAUAAUGAAACUGAAUUGUUUAUUAAGUGCUUAUCAUAAAUACAUGCCUUUUAUACGAUGUGUUUGCAAUACUGACUAUAAGGCAAGCAGAGAAAUGGGGAAACUGACAAGAAAGUAGAGCUGAGUAAAACAUUAAGUACUAUGCCAUAUUGAUUGCAUGUGGAUUAUACAGUGAAUUCAGAAAGUAUUCAGGCCCCUUCAUUUUGUCACUUUUUUUUAAGUCAAGUCUAUUUUUGCCUGCAUUGCGUAGAAAACAUGUACAGUAUAAACAUUGAUGCGUUGUAAGACAUUACACAGUAGUUUACAUACAGCGUUGCUGAGUUUCUGCACUUUUUUUUUCAUAUACAUUGAUCACGAACAUUUUCUUAGAGGAUAUGGUGGGAAGUAGUGUGACCGAGACACCAGGAAAGCACUGUGUCUUUUUCUAGGUGGGCAAGAUACAGUAUAGAGUGAUCUGAGAAGGAUGUAAAUAUGUUGGGCAUUUAUACUGUUUUACUUAUAGUUGAGUUCCAAUCAUGAGUCAUUCGGAAGUGAUAAAAUGUUUUGAAUGAUGCCCUGAGAGAAAAGCUAGCACGAGUAGGACGCCCGAGUAACGUGCCCUUCAGUAGAAGGAGCAACGUAUGGAGGGGCUUAAUAGCUUACUCUACAGGGGCCAUACCCCUUAGCAAGGGAGUGUCGGGGGGGCGGGAUGGGUAACUGUUGAUGGUGUUCCAGGUACAUAUGUGUCAUCAAACCAGCCUUGCGCCCGUCCUUUCAUUGAGUGUGGUCAAAUAACAAUGGUCUAAAAGGGUUUCGUGAUGUGGAAUACGUAAGCAGUUUAGGGUGACAGAACUUAAACAUAGGAAAAUCUAUGAAAAUAUAACAUUUUCCUGACCCCUUUUUUCUUCUUUCCCCUUCCAGUUUUAUUUUUUUUUAUUUAUUUUUUUUUUUUUUUAAAACAAAAGCCUAAAAAGACAUAAGAAGGAAACAAGGUAUGUCCGAAAGUUUCAGGGUGGCUACCAGCCUUUUGUUAAUGGGUGAGUUCAUCACUAGCGUUAGUCAAGUGACUGUUGGGUUCUUCUGCUCUGUCCUUGGCAUGAAUGGUUCAACGGUGGCUGGAUCCCAUGUUAGGGUGGCGUGGUGGUCAUAAGUGGCAGCCGACUCUUCCAUGAUGACCAGCGCUAUCAAGAGUGUAUGUGCUUCAGCGCCAUUGGUGAGUUUGUGAGUUGUCCCGUUGUGAGUGAAAAAAAGGUCUCUUGACGUCCCCAAUCUAUAGACCACCCCUGCGGAGCGUAGGCGGCUGGUGACCAGGUUUAGGGAAUUUCUCCAUUGCAUUGUGGACUUAGUCAGGUCCUGGUAGAAAGUCAAUUGUGAGUCCUCAAAUAAAAGUGGUGUUUUACCUCUCAAUGUGGUCAUGAUGUGACCCUUAUCUUGGGAUACUGAGCAGUGGAGAAUGACAUCUUCAGCGUCAGCUUGCGCUGGUAUAGGGAGACGGUAGAUACCAGCGAUUGCCUUUUUUUGGGCUGUGGCAGGUGGUAAGAUUGAGGUCAGGAGUCGUUGUGUGUAGUGUGGCAAUUCGUCCUUUGUGAUUGUUGAUGGUACGCCUCUGACACAUUGUGUCUGUCUUCUUGUGCUGAGAGUUGCAGGGACAGGGCUUGUUGAGUAAUUUGUAGGUGGAGUAUGGAGUCCUGUAUUUGGGACAUCUCACCCUGGACAUCCCCCUCUGUGGCUUUCAUCUUUUCUUGUCACGUUUUUUUAAUGUUUAAUCCUUAUGCUACAAUUAUUUAAACAUGUUUUGCAAUAAAUAUACCCUCAAUAUCCCAUAAUGACAAAGCAAAGCCAGAGUUUUGACACCAUUGCAAAUAUAUUAAACAGGAAAUACUGAAAUAUCUCCAGAGACUGAAUGGGUUUGUAACAGGAACUUGGUAGACUGGCUUGGGACCAGUCUACCCUGUUUGUCUAGAAACCCUCUCUUGCCAGCUCUAGGAAGAGACCUGGUAGUUCCAAACUACUUGCAUGUAAAUAUUAACUGUUCUCUUGUGAGCCUUCAAUGCAGUCAAAAUUUUAUUUGUAAAAGUCCCCAGUUCUGUACUUCGACACCUUCAUAUCUCUGAGCAGGGCCAGCCUUAACUCAGUUAUAGGCAGACAGUCACCAAGCAUUUGCUUGGGCCUCCUGCCCCACACCCCCUUCCUGGCAUGCAGCCAAACCCUCCACUGCAAUAUAGUGGCAGAACUAAACUAGAAAGGGUACUGGUGCAAUGCUUCUUUUGGGCCCAGCUAGACAUACUGAACCACACAAACAUUGACAGACAUACUUGCACACAUACACACAGACAGACAGACAUACUGAAACAUAUACACACAAUAUUUAGACAAUACAUGCAAUAUUUAGACACAUUUCCAGGAAGUGAUAGAGAGCCUCAGUCAUUGGAGGAUACUGAAGAGCUGCAUAAACAAAGUAAUUGAACUCCUAAACAGAUGAGAAUUGAGCUGUAAGACUGCAGGGUUAUGAUCUAUACACCAAAACCACUUCAACACCUUCCUAUCUCUGAGCAGGGCCAGCCUUAACUCAGUUAUAGGCAGACAGUCACCAAGCAUUUGCUUGGGCCACCUGCCCCCCAUCCCCCUUCCUGGCAUGCAGUCACACCCUCCACUGCAAUGUAGUGGCAGAACUAAACUAGGAAGGGUACUGGUGCAAUGCUUCUUUUGGGCCCAGCUAUCGCAAGGGUGGCCAUACGGUAGAUCCCUAUCUGUCAUACAACUCCAACAAUGCUUUGACAGCUGGGCAUCUAUCAUUGUCCCAUGCUUGCAGGAUUGUACUUAGCAAUGAGCGGUAUUUGUGUGUUUGAUUGUAAGCAUGUUUUGUAUGGAGUAUGUUUGUGUGAAUGUAGUGAUGUGUUCGUAUGUGGUGCUGGCAUUUAAAUGCAAGCAUGCAUUUAUGUGUAUGCAGUGGUGUGUGUGUGUGUGUGUGUGUGUGUGUGUGUGUAUAUAUAUAUAUAUAUAUUAUAUAAUUUUGGUGUUUUUAACACAGAGGUGUGUUUGUAGUGUUAAUGUUUCAAUGCAGGAGUGUGUUUGAAUACUGAGAUUUAUGCACAUAUACACAUACAUUACCACACACACUGUGAUACACAUGCAGAUAUACAGAUACACACUGACACAGGUAUACAACCUGAAACACACAUGCAGAUACACAGACACACAAAUACAAACAAUAACAUGCAUGCAGAUACAAAAAUACACCCAAUGACUACAUAUAGAUACACAGAUAAACACAAUGAGACACAUACAGACAGAUACACAAACUGACACAUGCAGAUACAUAGACACACAGAUACAUACUGACUACAUAUAGAUACACAUACAGAUACAAACAAUGAUACACAGAUACACACGCUGAUACAUACAGAUACACACUGACCGCAUAUAGAUACACACACUGACACACAUGCCAAUACAAAGAUACACACACUGACUACAUAUAGAUACACUGAUACACAUACCGAGAACAUACAGAUACACACUGACACACAUACAGAUACACACUGACACACAUACACAGACACACUGACACACAUACACAGACACACUGACACACAUACACAGACACACUGACACACAUACACAGACACACUGACACAUACCAUACAUACCAUCACUGACACACAUGCAGAUACACAGAUAAUGACACACAGAUACACACACUGACACACACUGACCGCAUAUAGAUACACACAUACAUACAAUGAGACCAUACAAUGCAUACAGAUACACACACGCCGAUACAAAGAUACAUACACUGACUACAUAUAGAUACACACAAAAAGACAAAUACACAAUGACUGCAUAUAGAUACACACAUACACACGAGAACAUGCAGAUACACACAGACAACAUAUAGAUACGCUGACACACAGACACACGACCUGAUAUUCAUGCAGAUACACAGAUACAAACAGUGCAGCUCUUGUAGCCUAGUUGCUGGGGAAGCAGGGACUCCUUCCUGCUUUCCCCUUCUUGUGCAACAGUUACCAGGAGCUUCCGGCUCCACCUCCACUGUAAUUUUAGUCAAGCCUCCUCCACUCAGUAAGCCCCACCCCACCACCUUGCUCUUUACUUUUAUAGUUCCGGGUGGAAAAUAAUUAAUCCUCCACCCAGGUACUUGAUAUAGCUUUCCCUGCACUCCUGGGACCCGGACAUGGGUGAGCUGUGUCGGCCAAUUGCGCACUCUGCUCCUUGGUGCCCUGUGCGGCUGCACAGCUCGCACACCCCUAAAGCCGGCCCUGUCUCUGAGCUCUGCGGGCUGUUCCUUAUGGAUUGGCUUUUACUCUGUUAUGCAUUUGCAGAUGUGUGUCUUUCCAAGGCAUGUUCAAUCUAUUGAAUUUACCACAGGUGGGCUCCAAUCAAAGUGUGCAAACAGCUUAAAUAUGAUGCAGAGAAAUGGGAUGUAUCUGAGCUAAAUUUCAAGUGUCAUUCAAAGGGUCUGAAUUCUUAUAUCAAUGAAAUAUUUCGGUUUUAUCAUUUUAAUAAAUGAUUUAUUAUGGGAUAUUACAUGUAGAUCAAAGUGAAAAAGUGUAAACAAUUAAACAAGUCUACAACAUACCAAAAUGAAGUGAUCUAAAGACUUUUUGCAUGUAUGUGUUUAGUUUUUUGCUGAAGUAAUUGUGUCUGGUGAUGCCAUGGUGCAAGGGGAGCCGCUUAAUGAUAGGCUUCUCAAGGAGUGUAUUGCCCAUCUGACCUCAUCUAUCUCGGGCAUCUACGAAGUUUCUCAUUGUGAAAUGGGCUCGGGUUGUACUUUCUGCUACUUUUUUCCAGUGCCCUGAGUGGUAUAGUUAUAUGUUUUAGUCCAGUCUGCUUUCCUAAUCGCUCGCUGUACUAUUGGUCCAGGGGCCUCAUAUAUUAUCAAAUUUCUUCUUUGUCCCUCUGACCCGUGCUGUCAAUUUGUCCAUUAGGAAAGUAUCUUUUAUUUUUUGUUUUACCAUCGCUAUUGUCCCUCUGUAGCCAUACCUGUGCUAGGGCUCUUUGUGCGGCUAGGUUUACUUUUUAUAUGAGGUUUUGUUCCAUUCAUGUCCAGUCAUCCAUAGACCUGGAAAGUAGAAACACCCACGGGUCUAGCUUCACCUCCCUGCCGAACACCUCUCUCAGCAAUUCUGCGAUCCGUUUCCAGAAGGUCUGCACCUUUGGGCAUUUCCACCACAUACGAAUAUACGUGCCCUUAUGUCCGCAGCCCCUCCAGCACAAGUCUGUCGGGCUUUUGCGCAUUUGGCACAACAUCACUGGGGUGGUAUACCACCAAAACAAAGUCUUAUAUGAUUGUUCCUGCAAGGAGACACACACUGAAGAUAUUGCAGCAGCCUCCCACAUUUCCUGCCAUUCUAUGCACUCCAGUACCUCAUUCAAAUCUGCUUACCAUUGGUCUAUAUACUUGAUAUCACCCCAUUCUAGUGUAUGAGUACUCAGCUGAGAAUAUAGACUGGAGAUUAGGCCGCUCGGGAAUUGUUCCCUCAUGCACAUUCGUUCGAAAAACGUUAAUUGUGUCAGCACAACUGUUUUGAUCCGAGUAUCUCGGGCAUAGUCCCUAAGCUGAAGGUAACGGAAAUAGUCGAAAGGUCUUAACGAGGCCCUACUUUUCAGUUCAUCCAAUGUUACAAAGGAGCCAUUUUCAAACAGUUGAUAUAGUCUCUGCAAUCCUGUGUUUUCAAGUCCCUUAAAAUCCCUAGCUUGCAUGCCAAGGAGAAAAUCUCUGUUUCUCAAGAAUGGGGUCAUUGGUGACAGGACAGAUGUCAGGCUAUAUUUGAGGGCGGUUGCAUCCCAGACCCAGAGGGAAGUUUCUAUCGCCUGGCAUGUUACCUGGUGUAGCGGUUUAUGUUUUCCAGGGAUCCACAUAAAGAACUGGGGUAUAUCCGGGCCCAUCAAGGAGGACUCCAAAUCCACCCACCUCCUCUAAUCAGGAGGUGUAUACCAUAGAGCUAUUUGGGAUAGCUGGGCCGCCACAUAAUAAUAGUAGAGGUUUGGUAUUCCCAGACCUCCCCUAUCCUUACCCCUAUAAAGUAUAUUACGGGUGAUCCUAUGUUUCUUAUUCUGCCAGAUAAACUUGCUGAUAGCCUGCUAAAGUGUUCCCAAGUUAGAUUUAGUCAAGUGGAUCGGAAGAGCUUGGAAGAGGAAUAGUAUCCUAGGUAGCACAUAAAUGUAUUCUUCUGAUCCACGAUAUUGGUUUAUCUACCCAUGUCUCCAUGUCAUGUAUUAGUUGUCUAAUUAGUGGGACGUAAUUCUGUUGAUGCAAAUACAUAUGCCUAAGUAUUUGAUGUGAUCUUUUGCUAUGUGUAUGUGAUAGGUCUUCUCUAUCUAUGCCGCGUCUUCGUCUCUCAUACCUAUGGGGAGUGCGCUCGAUUUGUGUAAGUUGACCUUGUAUCUACCCACCUUACCAUAUUCCACUAGUAUUCCUGUCAGUGCCGCCAUUGAUUCCUUUUGGGUCCGUCAAUGUCAAUAAUAUAUCAUCAGCGAAUCCCGAUAUAAUGUAUUGCUGUCCCGUUGCGCAUAUUGUUUGCAUGAGGGAUUCUAGUGAUAGAACAAACAGCAAUGGCGAAAGAGGGCAGCCCUGUUUCUUGUAGUUACUCAGAUGGAAUGGAAUAGAUCAUGCUCCCGUUAUCCGGAUCUGCACCCUGACGUUAGAGUAUAGGGCUUUAACUGUGGUUAUAAACUGGGCGGGCAUGCUGAAGUGUUUUAAUAUCGCGAACAGAUACGGCCAUUUAACUCUGUCAAACGCCUUUUCGGCAUCUAGUGACCAUAUCAUUGUCGGAUUGUUCAUCUUAGUUUGUCUCCCUAAAAGAUCUAUAUUGCGUCUCAUAUUCUCGAACAGUUGCCUACCCGGACUAGUAAGAAUAGGGUUCAGUCUGCUCGCUAACACUUUUGCUAAGAUUUUGGAAUCGUGUUUAAUUAAAGAGAUUGGGUGAAAAUUCUCUGGGAUUUAGUCAUCCUUGCCAGAUUUAGGCAAUAAGACUAUAUUCGCUAGUGACAUGUCUCUAUCUGGGAUCACCCCAUCCCUAAGGUUAUUAAACCACGGUUCGAGGUGGGGUAGGAGCUCCUCUCUAAAUAUCUUGUAGUAGCUUCCUUCGAAGACAUCUGGGCCAGGUGCCUUAUUGCUUUUCAAGGCCGAAAUUGCUGCAUCUAUUUCCUCUACUGGGAUCUGAUUACCUAGAGCUGCGGAGUCCGCCUCAUCUAGUUUGGGGAGUUAUAUCCGAGAGAGGAAUUCUCGUAUCCCAUCCAUUUCCUGUUGUGGGUUCGCAGCUUCACCUGUCGAGUGGUGAUAUAGUUUGGUGUAAAAAUCCGUAAAAACCCCAUCUCCGUUGGGUUAGUCUGAUAGUCUCCUACAUUAUUCUUGAUUUUUGUGAUAUGUGUGUUCUGUUGCCGUGGUCUAAGGGAUCUUGCCAACAGGGUAUCCGUUUUGUUGGCCUUUUCAUAAAGGCCUGACUGUUGUAUGAAAGUGUGUAAUAGUUUGUCUUGUGGGACUGUGGGGCUCCUCUACAGGGCCCCCUAUCUACUGCCGGGGACGGAGCCGUGUUGAAAUCUGCCCCCACUAUCACCAUUCCGUGAGGGAGCGUAUUGACAGUGUGAGUGAAUUCCGCCCAAAUUUCUCUGGAUGGGUCAUUUGGUGCGUAUAGAUUGAGAAUGUGGAUAACGUGUGAAUAUAAGAUUCCUGACACUAGCACAAAGUGCCCCCCUGGAUCCAUGCUAACCUUGCUGACCCUAAUCGGGCAAAAUUUGCAAACAAAUGUGGAUAGGGAAAUCACUUAAAAAAAUAACAUAAAAUUAGCAGCCGCCCCCCAAUCCUCUGAUCAAUGUUGGAGAUGCCAUCGCGCCUCAGGCACAGCAUCACACAUCUGGUGGUCCUGCCCAGAAAUACAAACCUACCUACAGGAGGCGCAUUUCUAGCUUCAUACAGACGAUACUGGGGGAAAAACUGACCCAAACCCCAGAUUAUUUCAUCUUCCUUCUUCCACCACCAAACUUUCCCAAAGAAAAAACUCAACUACUCCUACAUUUGAUAACAUCGGCAAAGCAAUUGAUCCCUAUAUACUGGAAAAAAUCAAACCAGCCGCUCAUAAGAGAUUGGAUCCAAAGAAUGGAAACCACUAGGAAUAUGGAGGAAAUUUGCUACUCCCUCUCAGACAGAUACCACUUUUACACAUCUAUCUGGUCCUGGUGGUGCACGUACCUUCAGCAUUCCCCAUGAAGGGGGAUCCCACACGCAUCCUUGGGCAAGACGCAAUAGCAUGGGCAAGCUAACCGAAGGGGAAAACGUCAAACAUACACUUCAUACUAUUCUAUCAGGGUUAUCUUUGUUCUUUGUUUUUGUAUUUACUUAAACACAUCUUGUUUCACAAACCAUACAGACAAUUUUUAUCAACAAAUUCUUGUUUUCUAUGUAUUUGACUCAUACAGAUAAUUGUUACUUCUCAAUAUUCUAUGUAUACAAAACAGUGAUAUCUGUACCAUGACUUUAUGCAAAUAAAAAAAUAAGCAGCCGCUUAGUAGAUAACUCCCUAAUACAGUAUUAGGGAGCUAUCUACCAAAAGGCUGAAAGACCUAAAUUGGUCACCUAAACCGGUCUUUCAGCCACAUUUACUAAUACUAAGUAAAGAUUACUUAGUCUUAGUAAAUUCAGACCCUACUCGCUAUACCGUGUGUAGGAGCGUGUCUAGUAAACAGUGAGCAGCCAGUGGCUGCUCACUGUAAAAAACAAAAAACAAAAAACCUAUUGCCCUAAAUAACAAUAAGGGGGGGAACCUACUUUCCUCCCCCCAGGCCCCCACUCCUGUGCGGUGGGUGGGGGCCAUAAAUAACAAUAAGGGGGGACCUAAUGUCCUCCCCCCUGGCCCCCACCCCUGUGUGGCGGGUGGGGGCCCUAAAUAACAAUAAGGGGGGAACCUAAUGUCCACCCCUGCACGGCCGUUGGGGGCCCUAAAUAACAAUAAGGGGGGUAACUAAUGUCCUCCCCCCGCCCCCCACCCCUGAGCGGUGGGUGGGGGCCAUAAAUAAAAAUUGGGUAGGGACCUAAUGUCCUCUCCCCCAGCCCACACCCCUGCGCGGCGGGUGGAGGCCCUAAAUAACAAUAAGGUGUGGGUACCUAAGGUGAGACUGUUCCUACUAAUUCCAUUUUUAAACUCAUUUUUUUACCAUCUGACUUUUAUUUUGAAUAUUUGGACGAACUCUAUUUUCCUCCAUUAUCCUUAUCCAUAUUAUUAUUAUUAUUAUUAUACCCAGGUUUUAUCACUUGUUGAUUAUACAUUUUAAUUUAUUGGUUUUUAUUUCAUAGUCCUCUGAUCUUAAAGCGCAGCCCUUAACUCCUCUGUUCUUUUCCACCUAAGGUCCUCCCCUUGCGUGGCCGGUGGGGGGGCCCUAAAUAACAAUAAAGGGGGACCUAAUGUCCUCCACCCCGGCCCCCACCCCUGAGUGGUGGGUGGGGGCAAUAAAUAAAAAUCCCCCCCCCCCAGGUGACCCCUAGUUUGAAUGUAAGGUUCCUGACACCCCUCCCAAACAAAACCCUAACCCCUACCUACCCCCUACCCCUUCACCCAUGGAGGGCUCCACACAGACUGAGCUCUGCAGGGCGGGGGAAGGCUUAUAAAGGGGUGCAGGGGUGGGGGCUGGGUGGGAGGACAUUUGGCCCCCCCAUUUUCUAUUUAUGGCCCCCACCGCUCAGGGAUGGGGGCCGGGGUGGGAGGACAGUAGGUUCCCCCUCUUAUUGUUAUUUAGGGACCCCACCGGCCGUGCAGGGGUGGGGACCGGAGGGGAGGACCAUUAGGGACCCCCCCGCCAUGCAGGGGUGGGGACCGGGGGAAGGACAUUUGUUGUCCCCCUCCCUUUUUUAUUUAUGGCCCCCACCCACCGCUCAGGGGUGGGGGCCGGGGAGGAGGACAGUAGGUCCCCCCCCUUAUUGUUAUUUAGUGCCCCCACUUGCUGUGCACGGGUGGGGGCUGGGGGGGAGGACAUUAGGUCCCCCCCAAAUUUUUAUUUAUGGCCUCCACCCACUGCUCAGGGGUGGGGGCUGGGGGGAGGACAUUAGGUCUACCCCCCCUAUUGUUAUUUAGGGCCCCCACUCACCGCACAGUGGUGGUGGCCAGGGGAAGGACAAUAGGUCACCCCUUAUAGUUAUUUAGGGCGGGUGGGGGCAAAGAGGGAGGACAUUCGGUCCCCCCCCAAUUUUUAUUUAUGGCCCCCACCCACUGCUCAGGGCUGGGGGCCGGGUGGGAGGACAUUAGGUCUACCCCCCUAUUGUUAUUUAGUGUCCCCAUGUCUCCCAUUGUCUAUGUCCCCACUUCUCUCAUUGUCCCUAGUGUUUGUUUCCCCAAGUGUAUCAGUGUCCCCAAAUGUAUCAGUGCCCCCAUGUCUUCCAGUGUCCCCAUAUCUGUAUCCACAAGUGCCCCCAUGUCUCCCAGUGUCCCCAAGUGUCUGUGUCCCCAGGUCUCUCAAUGUCCCCUAAUAUCCUAGUGACAUGGGAACACACUGUGACAUGGGGACACUUGGAGAAAUGGGGACACUGUGACACUGGGAGACUAGGGUACUGGCGACAUUGGGACACUGACACUGUGAUACAUAGGGACACUGAGACACUGGGUGACUUGGGAGACUGAGAGCAAUCCAUCUAUACAGCAGAAUCAAACUGUAAGUAGUUUGUUGGUGAUUUUACAGAAUUUUCUCUUAUGUCACUCUUUGAGAUUUACAUCAUGUGAUGUCACGCAUACAUACUUAAUUAUACAAAUGAUUAAGGCCGGUACUUUUUUCCAGGAAAGGUGGCAACCCUAACUACUCUUCACAUACUCUGGCUUAAUGGACCACUAUAGGGUCAGGAACACAAUCCUGUAUUUCUGACUCUAUUAUGUUAAAACCACCAUCUAGCCCCCCUGGUCCCCUUGCCUCCCUAAAUAUGGUAAAAUCUUACUUGUAUUCAAGUCUGCAGCUGCUGGCUCUGCCUCUGAACUGACUCUGUCUACUGACAUCAGAAGUGGUGGUCUGAGCCAAUUACAAUGCUUCCCCAUAGGAUUGGCAGUGACUGUCAAGGAGGCAGAUCAGGGACAGAGCCAGCACAAGUCAAACACAGCCCUGGCCAAUCAGCAUCUCCUCAUAGAGAUGCAUUGAAUCAAUGUAUCUCUACCAGGAAAGUUCAAUGUCUCCAUGCAGAGAGUAGAGACACUGAAUGGCAGUGCAGCACACUAGGCAGUACUGCCCCAGGAAGCACCUCUAGCAGCCAUCUAAGUAGUGACCAGUGAAGUUAUCACUAGGCUGUAAUGUAAACAAUGCAUUUUCUCUGAAAAUACAGUGUUUACUGCAAAAAGCCUGAAGGGAAUGAUUCUACUCACAUGAACAAAUACAAUAAGCUGUAGUUGUUCUGGUGACUAUAGUGUCCCUUUAAGUAUGGAAGCUUAAGAGGGAUGUAUGGGAACAAAACUUGUGUGGACUGGCUGACAAUAACAUUAGUUAAGGCAGACUUUAGUCUCUCUAACACUGUGGCAUGUCCUCUUUCUUCUACACUCACUUCCAACAUCUUUUCUCUGUCCCAGACUAUAUACCAGGAGCUUCUGCCUGCUAGUAAGACGGUGAGGAGACAAGUGGACAUGUGAGUGCUAGGGGACAGUCCUUAGAAAGCAUGGAGUAUAAGGUACGAACCGCACUACACAAUGUAUUCUUAUACUCGAUUGUGCCAUGUAUGUACUAUGCUAUACAGCUAUUCCCACCAGAAUGUAUUGCAACGACAUGCCAAAAAAAAAAAAAUAAAAAAAAAAAAAAUAGAAAGCAUGGAGUAUGCUCAUCAUUUGAUGCCUUUAUGUCAAGCUCAGGGUGCUGUCUACAUAGUUUGCCCUUAGUUGGACAGCCUGCAUGAUUGGCAGGCAGCCUGACAUGCAUUCAUGCCAGACUGGCCUUCCAAUUCUUUGGACAGACUUGCCCCCUUUUUGGGCAUGUUUGCCCCUUUUGGCAGAUCUGGUCACGUGAUUCGCAUCAGUGGCACAUCCUUUUACCAUGCCCAUUGACUUCCUGUUUCACUGGACACUGCUGUUGGGGGGGUAUAGAUGUACAUGAAAGAUGAAAGCAUAAAUUAGAGAGAGAUUAGCAUAGGGUAUGUGUUUUCUUAUAGCUGCAUCCUUUGAGUUUCCCUCCAACACCAUCUCCAUCAGCUACAUGAUGCUUGGGAGGUAUGAUUGUUUUAGGUCUUUAAGAUUUUGUAAUUAGGCCCAUCAUAAUUGUCAGCACCAGGCCCACUGGGCUCUUAAUCUGGCCCUGCCUAUGGCCAGGCAUGAUUGGGGUGACUGUCUCGUCUCCCCCAGUACUUCAAAAGAGCCCUGGGGUGUUGGGGACAUGGACCAGCCAAUAAGGGCACUACCUGAGUGCCAACUGAAACUAUGUAAAGAAACACUGUAACCUAUGCAUCUAUAUCUAGCAAGGAAAGCAGUGGGAACAUCCCUGCAGAGUGUGGAGAGGUAUGCAAUACAAGCACCAGUUACCUACAGCUAUUUGCCGUACGCUACAGAUUGUUGUUGUUUUUUUUUUUUUUUGUAAAAAAAAAAAUGGGUAAAUCAUUUUUUUUUUCUCUAAAAUAAACUGUGCAAACAGCAACUUUGUGCUUGCAGCACGCAAGAAUAAUAGUCUCAGGUAACGUCCAUGAGCAGGGUCUGUCAUCCAGCCAUGCGCCGGGGCAAUCCCGAAUACUAGACCCACUGUUGGGCUAAUAAUAUAACUGCUGAACCUAGUCAUAUAUCACGGUGCGGUCCAAUUGUAAUUCAACAUGCAUGUAUACAAUUAGUUAUUCAAGUGGGCGAAUACACCCGGAAGGGAGGGUUGCACUAGACAGCCCCGCUCACGGCACAUAAUCUUCCUGAUGCCCCCAGAAGGAUCCAUCAUCUCACAGAGGCCUCCUAUUGCGCUGGGACCGGACCCGGGUCCCGCCUCCCUCCCCCCUCUGAAACCAGAAGAGAAGCUGAACCCGAAGGCUCGGACCCGCCGCCCCAGCCAUCCAUCUCCCCCCUACCCCCCGGCAAGGGUUGUCCCCCAGCAGAGAACAUGCCGGCUAAUCAGCAGAGUACCUCUAUGGGUGUGUGGACGCCAGAAUGAAGCCAGGCCACGGAGAGCAACACAGUCGCUCCCGCCAGCGGCGACAGUCAUACACUCCCAUUAGCCCCCUAUCCCGCCGAAUCCCCAAAUAAACAACCAUGAAUUUAAAAAUUCAGGUAAAAAACAUAACAUAAUGCUAUUCUUUACUGUACACAUGAAGGGAGGAAUCCGAGUCAGCAUUUACCUCCCUAUCCCCUAAAUAGGGGAGUCGCCGAAAGCUUCAUACCGAGGGAUCCCCACAUCCCGCAUAUAUGACAAAAGAGGGAUGUUGCAGUACCCAUGGACCCCGACCUUUCCUCUUCCCUCAAACAUCACAACCCAAACUAAACAGCAGCACAUCACAAACCUAGCCCGCCCAAAAUGGGGUGAAGUUCCCCUGGAUCCCCCAUCCCGUUAUUACCUGAGAUCAUCCCUUACAGUCUCCCUCAGCCGUACCUGAUCAACCUGCCCUGUAGUGAUCCCCCCCGGGUGGGUCUGGGCCCCCGAAAUCAGCCCUCCCAAUAUCUGCUUACAUACCAGCCCCUAUAGCCGUUCCGAUCAGGGUCACCUCACCGCCAGCCGCAGGCAAAACCUGGGCCAGCUGAUCUCCAUGGGCCUGAUUCUCCUGCUGUACACCAGUCACGAAGGAGGGGACAGAGCUCCUCUACUGUCUGGGGAAGUGCCACCAUCUUGAUUGGAUCUUGGAUCCCCAGGCCCCGCAGGAGCUCUGCAGGGUCGCCGUCUGCGUACUGGGUUUUAGUACGCACAUCCUGAAACGCUAGUAGCCGAAAGGGGAAGCCCCACGCGUACCUCACCCUGUGCUUCUGCAGGAGUUCCGUCACCGCACGCCACAAUCUCCGCUUCUGAAGGGUCACAGGUGUUAAAUCAUGAAAUAAUGUAAGUUCCACUUCACCAUAUUUAAUUGGGCUCUCUCGGCUGCGCUUCAUGAGGGCUUCCUUCGUCUAGAAGAAUAGGAACUUAAGAAUAAUGUCCCUAGGGCGCUUAUCCUCUGCCUGUUUGCGCCGGAGCGCUCUAUGAACUCUCUCAAUGUGCCACUGGUGUUCCGACACCCCAGGGAGCAGUGGCUUUAGGAUUGCAGUCACCUCCUCCGUCAGCGACCCCUCUCCCUCCAGCACGGGCAGGCCCCGAAGCCUAACGUUAUUCCGCCGGGAUCUAUUGCCCAUGUCAUCCAGGGCGGACUCCACCAUCGUCCGUCUGGAUGAUAGCGUGUUACUAUGUGCUGUAGCAGUAUUGUGAGCCACCACCGUUGACUCCACCCGCUGUUCAAGCACCGCCGUCCUCGUGCCCAAGGCCUGGAUUUCCGCCUUAACUUCAUUGGUGUUUCUCGUGAUCUCGGUAGCCAGGUAACAACAUACCUCAGCCAAAUUUGCCAAGAUCUGUGCCGUGUUAGCCUCAGAAGCCUCCGAUGUUGCUUCCAUGCCUGGGCUGAGAGGUGAGCGCGGCGCCAACGGGCUCUCCCGUCCGCCAUCUUGAUUGCUCAAUCGCAUGGCGUGAGAUGCCGCGAACAUGUUGGACACCAUAGUGCCCUGUUCUGCUGGCUUUUUAGGCUGUUUCUUCGGUGCAAGGCUCCCCUGUGAAUUUUCUUGUUCAGGUCAGUGUUUAAUCGCUGUAGUUAGCUAUUGGCCUCAUGGUCCUAGCGGAGCUUCACUUGGACACGUCCAUCUUGCUCCGGCUGCAGACCAUGCCACACAGAAGGCUUUUGAAGACUUUAGCAAGCUAUUAACAAAGCAGGAGACAUUCUAAAUUAGAUUGUGUAAUAAGGGUAGCAAAAAUAUUUAGACACAUUUCCAGGAAGUGAUAGAGAGGCUGAAUGAGCCUCAGACAUUAGAGGAUUGUGAAGGGCUGCCUUAACAAAGUAACUGAACUCCUAAACAGAUGAAAAUUGAGCUGCAAGACUGCAGGGUUAUGAUCUAUACACCAAAACCACUUAAUUAAGCUAAAAUGUUUGUGCUUAACAUGCGGCUUUAAUAUAUUUAGGCGGUUGGAGCUAAAUGAUAAAAAAUAAAUAAAGAUGAUGCACAAAAUUUAAGAGAAAUGUAUAAAUACCUAAAAGCAAAAUUGACAGACAUAGUGCAUGCUGUAUAAUAGUAUAAAUGUAAAAGUAUAUAGGAAUAUCACUCACAAGACGAGAGUAGAUAUAGUACCACUCAUGAUUAUUUUGACCAUGGAUGAUCAGCCCCUUGUGUGCGAUGAAUCGCCAAUAACAACACUUCACCACCAGACCAGAAUUUUUACUUCUUUUUAGUUAACAAACAAAUUAAAAACAGCAGUGCUAGGGAUGUCUGCAGGUAAAAAGUUCAUAGAGGAUACUGUAAAAGUCCUUGGUUUCAGUGUCCUUGUAAUCCAGCAUAAAAUAAAAGUUCCUCGCUUGUUUCUUCAUUCACGCACUCCGGCAUGUGACACGGUGGGUAUCGUCCCAUCCCGCAAGGCCUUUUCAAGCUUCAAGAUAUACUUCAAGAUACGGCAUGCAGUAUAUAGGGAUAAAUAUAUAGGUUAGGGAACACCAAUCCAGAGUCCUUGCAGUUGUAGAGUAUUUCAGGACUGUGAAGUUCCCCACAACAAUGGGUAUUCACUAAUGUUUAAAAUUAAUUCAAAGAGAAUUUCAAUUUUAAAGUCAAAAUAGAUGAACUGGAAAAAAAUCUCUAAGUCAGCUUUACUUUCAUUUUGGCUACUCUGGCUUCAAAUAAUACUUACAACCCUGUAUAAGGUAUUAGUGAGGAGGCCCCCCCAUCUUUAAAAUGGAAAAAUAAUAAUUACAAUAAACUUAACUAAAAUCCAGUGCCGGGCAUAGUUUAGAGUGAAGGAAUCGAUCACACAGUUUCAUGGGCUUGGAGCGCAUGCACACAUACACCGACAGAGGUUGAGAGGGAGUGGGAGAGGGAGGUGGGGAUUUUUAAUUAAAAAAAACAAAAAACGAUUUUAGCAAAGGAGGGAGGUGGCAGGGAGUGCACAGAGAGAGGGGAGAUUAAGGGUUCUCCGUGCAGGCAGCGUGCUGUGCGCACUGAUGACAGACGUAAUUUUUGCACAUAGUGCAUGAGUUUUUUUCUUUAUUUUCAAUCCAUCUUUAGAAUAGGUAUAACAAAAUAAAAAUCAGUGACAUAGUAGAAGACAGUUAUUGUACAUUGCAUAGUGAAUUUAACAGAAUUGAGUUUUUAACGUUUAAAUGUAUAGGAAACUGUAGUUAAUAUAGCAAGCUAGAACUAAGCCUGCCACCCCUGAAAGAGAUACUCAAUAUCAUAUUCGUAAGUUACAUAGGGGUAACUUAAUAUAAAAUGUAAUUAUCAUCGAAUUAAAGUGAGCAAGAGGCUUUCACCCACUAUGCUGAGUGUAAAAAGCAUGUCACAACCAAGCUUGGUAGCCGAUGGGAGAGGGAGAAUAAGGGACACAAGAUCCCCUAUGCCAUCUGGAGGUGAAUGGAUAGGAUGUAUCUCUAAGGACCACUGUUGUAGUUAAAGUUAUGCAGUGGAGGCGAUCAGAUAGACAUAGACACUGAACUACAUAAGAAUCAAAUUAAGUAAAAACAAUAAUAAAAACAAUUAGUGGUUACAGGACAGAGAGGGUGGUCAAGGGAUCUCUGCGGAAGCAGGAUUUCCACAAAUGGGUGCACUGUGGUCAGUUCCCAGGUGUUUGGCUGCUUAGAUUGUGCUGGUGGUUGCGGCCCCAUGUCCACAGGUGGGAACACAUGCUAUUGUAUGGUGGAAGCCAUUUCAGAGGCUCAAGAGGCAUCUCGGUGCCCCCCAUAAUAAGGGAUCUUGUGUUUGGCAAGCACAGUUGUCAAGGGUCCCAAGGACCUACACCAGUCCAUGGUGGCUUGAGAGAUGUCAGGGAAGAACAUUAGUGAAUGCUCCUCAAAGUGGUAUGGAAAUUUGGUGCGGACCGCAGACAUGAAGGCUUAUCUGUCCGGGCCUUGCUGGAAUCGAGCUAUAACCUCUGCUAGAUCAUGUGGAGGGAGCCUGUGAUGAAGGCAGCCUGUAGCAACCAUCCAGAGCCAUAACUUUUGCUUGUUUAGGGGAGAAUAAGCUUCUAAGCAGUCGAACAAGAUGGGGUAUUUCAGCUGCGGUAACACUCUCAGCUAAGCCCUGGAUUUUUACUUUCUUCCAGCGUCUGCAAUUCUCCAUAGGACCUCCAAUGCCAUGUAGUGCUGUGUCUGGAGCAGAUCCUGAAUGAGUGUAGCCAACUCCCUUUCCAGGCCAGUAAUGCAAGCCUCGUGGGCUGUGGUGUUAACUUCCCAUUUAUUUUCUCUUUAAACGGGGUGAUAUCUGCCGCAAUAUUAUCACAAAGGUCUGCCAAGAGGGCCUUUAAUGUACCCUCCGUAACCGGGGAACUCCCUGUCUGUACUAGUAGCGGGUCUAUCCUCUGCCUCCCUGCUGGUAACUCCAGGUCUCUCAGAUCUACGAGGGACUCUUCACUGGACGUCCUGGAAAGGCCGGGUCGUUGGAGUAAUACUUUAAAUUCAAUUUGAAUUGUCACUUUAGUAAAUAACUCUGAAUGUGUUUUUCAAAUGUAUGUGUGAAAUAUACUGGUAAUAUGGCCUACUUCAUAAUGAAAUGUCCAUGCAAAAACAACCACAAAUACUUAAAAAACUAAAGGAUGAAAGCGUACAACAUAAAAGGCAUUUGGUGCUGCUAUUCUGCCUUAAAUGUUUACCCAGUAAAUCAAUCUAUCAAAAAUGCAGGUUUAAAUUCUGAAACUACCUAGGCCUAAGUUAAAUUUGCCUGUUAAUUUUUGUGUAUGUACAGAGAAAACAUACCAAAAGCAAGUACAGACAUUUAGAAAAUGCAAGUUUUGUUAUUUGGUACUGCCUACACAGUGCCUUCUUGUCUAUAUGUGAUGGCAACACUGCCAGUUUUUUGCUCUGCAUAAUAUUAGUGGAUAAUAAAAUUUGUGUGUAUGUAUGUAUGUAUGUAUGUAUGUGUAUAUGUGUGUGUGUAUAUAUAUAUAUAUAUAUAUAUAUAUAUAUAUAUAUAUAUAUAUAUUUUGUUAAACAUGUUUCUAUAUUAUAUUGCACCUUAAUAAAAUGUCUUAAUAAAAGGAUUGCAUAGGCUGUGAAGGUGUGCUGGACCAUAUAUGUUUUUGUGCUUACUCUUUACUAGAUUAUGGAUCGUGUCUGGAGCUGGAGCACUGGGCGAGCGGCUAUUUAGCCACCCCUCAGAGCAGCUGCUUCAUCUGCUAGGCUCCCUCCAUGUCACGGAGAGCCCUGUCGUUUCCUGUGUUGGGCUCCCUCACUGUAAGCUCAGCUCCUGAGCUGAUACAUCCUGCAGGCAGGGGAAGCCGGUGUUCUAUCAAAAAACCCUACCCCGUGAAAAUUCCCUACCCUCGUCACUUCCGAUGACGCGGCCGCACCGCACCGCAAGUGACUAAAACAAAAUAUAAGUGGAGCUCUGGUUUACCUGUAUAAAUAGUGGUAUGAUACAGAUGGACAAAGAUACUUUCACAAUAAUCUGUAAAUAGGUAACAAUAAAUCUUAGUGCAGACGGUAGUUACAAUAUAAGUAUAAAAAGAUGAAUAGUAAAUGGGUAACUCACAAAAAAAGAGCCAAUAACACACUUGGCUCUAGUGGUAAAUGCUUCUGGAUCUUCUUAGGGGAGAUCCACCACCCUCUUUUGAUUGCCUCCUGAUGUCCUCCACCUUAGAUUCAAGUAUGGGUAGAGUGGAUAGAAUGGCAAACUCCAAAUAGUAAUGUGGACAAAAUUUAUUAUAUUAAAAAAUAAACAGAUAAAAUAAAUUCAAAUUGAAAGAAUUAUUUCAUAAAAGUACAUAAAAUGGUUUGGAUUGGAACCAUUUUAUGUACUUUUAUGAAAUAAUUCUUUCAAUUUGAAUUUAUUUUAUCUGUUUAUUUUUUAAUAUAAUUUUGUCCACACUACUAUUUGGAGUUUGCCAUCUACCCAUACUUGAAUCUAAGGUGGAGGAGGCAAUCAAAAGAGGGUGGUGGAUCUCCCCUAAGAAGAUCCAGAGGCAUUUACCACUAGAGCCAAGUGUGUUAUUGGCUCUUUUUUUGUGAGUUACCCAUUUACUAUUCAUCUUUUUAUACUUAUAUUGUAACUACCGUCUGCACUAAGAUUUAUUGUUACCUAUUUACAGAUUAUUGUGAAAGUAUCUUUGUCCAUCUGUAUCAUACCACUAUUUAUACAGGUAAACCAGAGCUCCACUUAUAUUUUGUUUUAUUUGCAUGUUCUGUGUUGUGAAGGUUAAGGGAUUCCUUCACUUAAGUGUUAGAGCCUGCUUUUCACCUUGCUGGUUUUGUGUGCACCACUUUAUUUUAUAUACAUAGCACCGCAAGUGACGUUCAUCCAAUGGAGGAGCAGGCGUACAACCUCCAGGUAGGGAAAUUUCACAGUUAGAGCUGGGGAGAAGGGGGUACCUAUUGCGCAUGCACCAUACCUGCCAGCUGGCCGCCGGAUGUCACUGCGCAUGUGCAGGGAGCCUCACCAGGGGAUACAGGGUAGGAGAAAAUAACGUCACAGUGCGCAUGUGCGGCACAGUACUCCCAUCGGAGGUACAAAGCGCGUGCGCAGUAUAGGGGUUGGGAAACUUGAUGGCCAUUUGUCCUGUGAAAUCUCCCUACCCCUAUACUGUGCACGCGCGGACUCAGAUCAUCGGAUUAAAUCCUGUCUGGAAACAGGUCAGUCUCUCACUGCUCUCAACACUCUCAGCCAUCCAAGGGGAGGGUGCAGUAUAUUGGGGGGGUUUCUGUACAUUAUAUUGGGGAAUGGGGGUUUCCGUGCAUUAUAUUGGGGAGUGGGGGGUUUCUGUACAUUAUAUUUGGGAGGGGGGUUUCUGUACAUUAUAUUGGGGGGUCUGCGCAGUUUAUGGGGGGGCUGUCUGUGCAGUAUAUUGGGGGGUCUGUUAAGUAUAUUGGGGUGGCCUGUGUGUUAGAUGGGGGGGCUGUGCGUUAGAUGUGGGGGGGCAGUGUAUUAUAUUUGGGGGAUGUGCAUUAGAUGGGGAGCUGUACAGUACGUGUGGCCUGUGUGUUAGAUGUUUACAACCCUAGUUUCACAAUAAAAUAUUUAUUUCCUAGAUAUCAUAUGCCAUGGCAUGCUUUUUGCUACAAAACCAAAGCCAUCUAGUCACUCAUCAGAGAAGGAUGAGAAACUGCACCCCAGCCAGAAGGACUGCCCCACAUCUGCAACCAAAUCCGUUGGUCACCGAAUUCAGUCAUCUCUGUCUCUUUGUCCAUUCUGUAUGUAUAGUACUCCCAAUUCUUAUAUUUAAUCCGGUGUGGCUCCCACAAUCUUUGUGUUUGUCUGCUGUAUGUAUGUGGCACGCAAGUCUGCAUGCACUUUGUCUGUUAUGCCAGUUACUCUAACCAGUUUUUUAUUUGUUUUUGUGUGUGUCACAACUCUGACAAGCAUGUUCUCCUAUGGGACACGAAGUAUAUGAAGUGGAAUGAAGAAGCCCAUGUUUGAGGCCCGCGUCCAGAGUGGUGUAUUGAAUUUAUAAGUAAUGAAGUGGCAUUUGACUCGUGACAAGCUACUCCUGUUUGCACAUUGACUUCAACAUUGUGUACUGUGAUCAUGGCCUAGUUCAGUGGUAGGUAACCUUGGGAAGUCCAGAGGCUGUGAAUUACAUCUCCCAUAAUGCUGGCAAAGCAUUAUGGGAGGUGUAGUCCAAAACAUCUGGAAUACCGAAUGCGUAUGAAUGAAAAGUAUGGUGUGUGUGUAUGGUCAGUAAAAAGGGUUGAAGCCUUGACGUGGCGUUACUGCUCACAUGUGUAUCCAUGUGCCAAUUCAACCAAUGUGAGUGACGGUAAUACUUAUGAAGUAACCAUAAAUACCGUGACUAUGGAGACUUAAACGCCUGUGUCACCCAAACACAGCUUAUACUGUGACCGUAUCUCCUAAACACUGCUUAUUGUUACUGUGAUACAGUCACAGUGUAAGAUCAAGUUUUAUAGAUUGGUGAGGGAGUCUGUUUAAAGCAUUAGACACUAAGUGCAUUAUUUGUUUUUUAGAUCUGGUGUCCCAUUUCGGGAUGGAGCACAUCACUCUGUUUAACAAGAGGAUCUUUGUGUAUUAUCACCGACUGGCAGCUCUUCCGAAAUCCACCAGGUUCUUAAAACAUAAGUCUCUGUUGCAUUAUACCCAAUUCUGAGACUUCUAAUGAUCCCUAAAGCACUUAAUCUUUUGAGGACAUUAUAUUUAAUUUAUUUUGCAUCUCUAAGACCUCAGGCAGUCACUGUUCCACUUGUAGUCCAGGUGCCAUGGAGGGCAGGUGAAGGUAGUUUUUACUUGACUUAAAAUGUCCUUUGCAUGCAGCUUUCACAAGGUCUUCUUCAGCUCCUGGCAUUUCAUUUGCCAGGAGCCAACGGAAGCAAUCUACUCACGUGCAUGCAUAAGUGUACCUUAGGUAGCUCUGCCUUUUGUCAAGAGUAGGAAAAAUACUUAAUAUAAAAGUUGUUCCGAUUUUGUCUUAUUUUGUGGGGGUCAUGGAAAUGCUGUAAGUCUAAAUUUAAAGUGCUCUAUCAUUCUUUUUAUUCUACGCCUCCAAUCCUCAACAUGGUAAUUGUAUUUUCAAAUAUAAAAUAUAGAGAUUGUAAUUUGCUUUACGGUUACGAUUUGGUGAGUUUGAACUAUAUGUUUGGUUUUUACAGCUCCAGAGGAAAGAAGCAAACCGCUUUGAGGAUUCACUGCAUAAGAGACUAUUGGUUACUGAAGGACUGUUUUGUAAAGGAAGAUCACAGCUUCAUCCAAGCCUUAGUCACAAGGAUUCUUAAGAGUAAAGACCGGCUAACAAUAUCCGAUGUUGGCCACAUGUGCAAAAAUUAUGUAUCUAAUAAAUGGCCAACAUACUUUUUCACUUUGUUUAAUUUAAA
Molecule: long non-coding RNA, 33290 nt
Filed under: Pelobates cultripes (western spadefoot toad)
Lineage: Eukaryota; Metazoa; Chordata; Amphibia; Anura; Pelobatidae
Source: RNAcentral